GCCGCCCCUCCCGCACUCCCCGCACCCACACCCCACUCUCCCCACGACGCCCCCUCCUCACGAGUACUAGUCCACCAAGAACAGAACACAUAUUUGACUUGCAGGUGAGGCUCUUAUUGGGCUUUGAUUUCGCUGCUCCAGAUCGAAGCUCCCGGCGUUGGCGGCCGCGGUGCGCUGGGUGUUGCAGAUCAGAGUUCAAAGGCAUAGCCAUGGAGCAUAUCAAGCAUAAGUGCAGAUAGAAAGACUAAGACAGUGGGAGGAAGACAAGUUGCUGGUUUGGCUUUUUGGGGAAGAAUGGAGACGACGUGUGAAGUCUUGGCAAUGGCUUGCUCUGCUCUCUCUCCUUUUAAUAUCAGAAAACCCUCUUCCUUGGCUGGUUUGCUAAAAAAUUGGUGUUCUGGAUUGUUAUUGGUUGAUUUCUGCACAUUGCCUCUACUGUAAUCUUCCCUCCAGAUUUGACUUGCAGGUGAGGCUCUUAUCGGGCUUUGAUUUCGCUGCUCCAGAUCGAAGCUCCCGGCGUUGGCGGCCGCGGUGCGCUGGGUGUUGCAGAUCAGAGUUCAAAGGCAUAGCCAUGGAGCAUAUCGAGCAUAAGUGCAGAUAGAAAGACUAAGACAGUGGGAGGAAGACAAGUUGCUGGUUUGGCUUUUUGGGGAAGAAUGGAGACGACGUGUGAAGUCUUGGCAAUGGCUUGCUCUGCUCUCUCUCCUUUUAAUAUCAGAAAACCCUCUUCCUUGGCUGGUAUGGCUGCCCAUCCCUUCUUUACCGUGUUGCCUUUGUGGAGCCUUUCUAUUGGCUAGGAGUUGCAGCCCAUGCCUAGACCAACUGUUGGUCAAUUGACUACUGAUAUACAUAUUAUGCACGUGAUGGUGGUGGUCAAAUGUGUAUCUCAAAUGUGUCUUGCUGUCCUGGUUGACUCAGAGAUAUUUUUUUGUUGGUCUAAGUUUGAUGUGGCAUUGUUGUAUAGCUUAGCAUAGUCUGGUCUCCCUAUAUUUUUUUUGUUUCCAAAGAUUUGUAAUAUAACUGUACAACUAUACUGUUUGAGAUGUGUGAAUAUAAAUAUAUAUUUGAGUGGUUA
Triticum aestivum (bread wheat) is the source of this 1075-nucleotide long non-coding RNA. RefSeq lists it as uncharacterized. The record is from RefSeq and is a predicted model, not a curated record. NCBI's taxonomy places the organism in Eukaryota, Viridiplantae, Streptophyta, Magnoliopsida, Poales, Poaceae. The transcript has 6 exons.